AUGAUCAAGAAAAAUAUAUGAAAGAGAUUUUAGUGGCAGUCUCCAUCUCAAUUUUAGUAACAUUCAAAUGGAGGCUAACUUUCUGCCAUUUGAUAAGUUGGGUCAUAAGUAAUUUGGCAUAGGACAAGUUAGAGGAUUCAAUCAUUUUCUAUUAAUAUGCCAAGAAACAAAGUUGAAAUAUUGAUAAAUGGGUACACGAUAAUCUGAGGCAACUGGAUAAUUUCUUUAUUCUAAGGAACUAGCAGAAUUGUUUUAAAGCCCUAAAUGCUUAAUCACACGGAAAAUUAAUAUGUUGGAGGAUGUAAUACCAAUAACUUACUUUUAUUGUUGGGAGAACAGGAAAUAGUCUUUUGGUUGAUAGGUUGUGAAACAGCUGCAGUUAAGGAAAUCUAAAAUUUUCAGCUUUCUUAUCCAUGUCCUAGUUAGAUUAGAAAAUGGUUAGAAAAUUAUGAACCAACUUAUUUUGGGUUCAAGAAACCCCUUGUCGUCCUCUACUUCCCCACCAAAGCAACUCUGACAGCAUUAUUCAAUCAAUUUUGUGCAGCUGCAACUGAAGGCUUCUAGACAACAAAGAAUAAUUCCCAAAAUUUUUGUUAAUACCCUAUUCCGAUCUCACAGGUUGGACAUAAGAAAUAAUAAUGGUCACCAUCUAUUUUUUUUUGUACCAACUUUAACCCCUCCAACCUCAUUUUUUAGCUUUUGUCAAUAAUAAUCCCUAACUCCAUUUCCGUUCUUAUUGAUCCUUUUAUCAUAUUUAUCCUACACUCAUGAUGUUCAUGCCUGCUUUUGUGAGUUAAAUCUCAUAGAUGAUCCCUCAUCACUUAAUUUCAACUAAAUUUCAGUUAGUAACACAAAAGUCGCUGAACUUUAAUUUUAUUAGUUGGUGAAAAAUAUUCUCUUUUUUUUACAUUGAAAAAUCAAAUAGCUUGCCAGAGAGUAUUUCCAAUAGUCUUACUAAAACUAAAAUUAAAGUUCAAUGAUUUUUACAUUAGAAAUUGAAAUAUAGUUGCCACACUAAAAUUAAGAGAUAAAUUGUGCAACCACAAGUGUAAUUUGCCCUUCUCUUCCCUGCUUUGUAUCCUGGAAUCAGACAAUAUUGAUUAUAAUUAUCGAAUUCACAAAUUCAAUAUUUGCCAUCCAAGGUUAUUCCAAGUUUCCAUGUGAAUCCAACAUGUAUGAAGUCAUUUCCUAGCAAAGGAGGGCAAAAUCAAUUCUUCUCCUUGUUUAUCCUCUUCGUACUAUAAUGCAUAGAAAAUGACAUCAUGCUGAUUUCUUAGGUUGCACGUCUCAUUUCCAUCUUUUAAGUAGUCUGAUGGCUUGAAAACCUUGUUCUUUAUCUUUCUAAUAGU
RNAcentral lists this unclassified non-coding RNA (1349 nucleotides) under Hevea brasiliensis (rubber tree). The record is from RNAcentral. Lineage: Eukaryota; Viridiplantae; Streptophyta; Magnoliopsida; Malpighiales; Euphorbiaceae.